This 157-nucleotide non-coding RNA is filed under the name Aerococcus urinae. RNAcentral's name for it is "GlcN6P sequence". It matches the Rfam family "glmS glucosamine-6-phosphate activated ribozyme aptamer". From Rfam's summary of the family: This entry contains a glucosamine-6-phosphate activated ribozyme that is found in the mRNA for GlmS. GlmS is an enzyme that uses fructose-6-phosphate and glutamine to generate glucosamine-6-phosphate. RNAcentral also lists the same sequence under 1 other name. Lineage: Bacteria; Bacillati; Bacillota; Bacilli; Lactobacillales; Aerococcaceae. The record is from RNAcentral.
UACAGACAGAUAGCGCCUGACUGAUUAAAGAGAUUUUUUCAGUGACGAGGACUAGGUUUAUCGAAGAUUCGGCGGGUGGCCUAGGGGUUGCACAAUCCAUAGAAAAGCACAAAAAUCAUUUUUAGCAAAUGAAACAAAAUCCUUUUCUCGUGCUUAA